CUAUGACGCAGUCAAAUGAAGCGGGAGACAAACUUGCCUGAGACUGAGAGAAAUAACCUCAAUUUGUGUGCUAUUGUGUGCGUCUAUGACUGAUUUACCACACAUCUACCCACAAAUUCUCAACCUGCCACUUAUGUAAAUCUUCAGUGUUCAAUAAACCCCUUUGAUUUAA
Molecule: long non-coding RNA, 172 nt
Organism: Megalobrama amblycephala (Wuchang bream)
Lineage: Eukaryota; Metazoa; Chordata; Actinopteri; Cypriniformes; Xenocyprididae
Exons: 2
Source: RefSeq, a predicted model, not a curated record